CGUAGGCUAGAGGUGAGUUGGCAUGUGAUUAAGCAGAAGUCAGCAGACGGCAUGUAGCCCAACGCCCAUCGUAAUGGAUGGGACACGGUGAAAGCC
This is a non-coding RNA of Shewanella baltica OS195, 96 nucleotides long. The record is from Rfam. NCBI's taxonomy places the organism in Bacteria, Pseudomonadati, Pseudomonadota, Gammaproteobacteria, Alteromonadales, Shewanellaceae.